RNAcentral lists this ribosomal RNA (846 nucleotides) under uncultured delta proteobacterium. Its description in RNAcentral is "bacterial SSU rRNA". It matches the Rfam family "Bacterial small subunit ribosomal RNA", at positions 9 to 827 of the family's 1533-position model. Lineage: Bacteria; Deltaproteobacteria. The record is from RNAcentral.
GAGUUUGAUCCUGGCUCAGAACGAACGUUGGCGGCGUGCUUAACACAUGCAAGUCGAACGCGAACGGUUUCUUCGGAGACCUAGUAGAGUGGCGCACGGGUGAGUAACGCGUAAGUAAUCUACCCUCGCAUCAGGGAUAACUACGGGAAGCUGUAGCUAAUACCGGAUACGUUCUCCUAUUUACGGACUGGAGAAGAAAGAUGGCCUCUUCAUGAAAGCUAUCGUGCGGGGAGGAGCUUGCGUACCAUUAGCUAGUUGGUAGGGUAAUGGCCUACCAAGGCGACGAUGGUUAGCGGGUCUGAGAGGAUGAUCCGCCACACUGGAACUGAAACACGGACCAGACUCCUACGGGAGGCAGCAGUGAGGAAUAUUGCGCAAUGGGGGAAACCCUGACGCAGCGACGCCGCGUGGAUGAUGAAGGCCUUAGGGUCGUAAAAUCCUGUCAGGUGGGAAGAAGUGGUUAUAGACUAAUACUCUAUUUCUUUGACGGUACCACCAAAGGAAGCACCGGCUAACUCCGUGCCAGCAGCCGCGGUAAUACGGAGGGUGCAAACGUUGUUCGGAAUUACUGGGCGUAAAGCGCGCGUAGGCGGUUUGUUAAGUCAGACGUGAAAGCCCAUGGCUCAACCAUGGACGUGCAUUUGAAACUGGCAGACUUGAGUACUGGAGGGGGUGAUGGAAUUCCCGGUGUAGAGGUGAAAUUCGUAGAUAUCGGGGAGGAAUACCGGUGGCGAAGGCGAUCACCUGGCCAGAUACUGACGCUGAGGUGCGAAAGCGUGGGGGAGCNAAACAGGAUUAGAUACCCCUGGUAGCCCACNCCGUAAACGAUGUCAACUAGGUGUUGGG